AACGAACGCUGGCGGCAUGCCUAACACAUGCAAGUCGAACGAGACCUUCGGGUCUAGUGGCGCACGGGUGCGUAGCGCGUGGGAACCUGCCCUUAGGUUCGGAAUAACUCCCCGAAAGGGGUGCUAAUACCGGAUAAUGUCUUCGGACCAAAGAUUUAUCGCCUUUGGAUGGGCCCGCGUUGGAUUAGCUAGUUGGUAGGGUAAAAGCCUACCAAGGCGACGAUCCAUAGCUGGUCUGAGAGGAUGAUCAGCCACACUGGGACUGAGACACGGCCCAGACUCCUACGGGAGGUAGCAGUGGGGAAUAUUGGACAAUGGGCGAAAGCCUGAUCCAGCAAUGCCGCGUGAGUGAUGAAGGCCUUAGGGUUGUAAAGCUCUUUUACCCGGGAUGAUAAUGACAGUACCGGGAGAAUAAGCUCCGGCUAACUCCGUG
Molecule: ribosomal RNA, 433 nt
Filed under: uncultured bacterium
Lineage: Bacteria
Description: partial 16S ribosomal RNA
Rfam family: Bacterial small subunit ribosomal RNA
Source: RNAcentral